GCCUAGUUAGCUUAGUUGGUAGUGCGUCUGCCUUGUAAGCGCUAGGUCGCGGGUUCGAAUCCCGCCCGGGGCG
RNAcentral lists this transfer RNA (73 nucleotides) under Diaphorina citri (Asian citrus psyllid). It matches the Rfam family "tRNA". Rfam says of the family: Transfer RNA (tRNA) molecules are approximately 80 nucleotides in length. Lineage: Eukaryota; Metazoa; Arthropoda; Insecta; Hemiptera; Psyllidae. The record is from Rfam by way of RNAcentral.